Molecule: long non-coding RNA, 461 nt
Organism: Ornithodoros turicata
Lineage: Eukaryota; Metazoa; Arthropoda; Arachnida; Ixodida; Argasidae
Exons: 2
Source: RefSeq, a predicted model, not a curated record
UGGGAGUGUCUGAAGACGGCAGUGGGCAUUGCAGCUCCGUUAUGUGGGUUACGCUAAACCAUUUUCUGCUCUUCACACAGUUCGUUCCUUUGUGGACGCCUGAUGUCUCCGACAAGCUACACCUUUGGAACACAUCGACGACUGGAACGCCAACCCAUCCAACGCCGUCGUAUGCGCCGCUGAGCAUCCCAUUUGGUGGAACCACGUCGCCGACUCAGGCAACAAUGGAUUUGUUUACCCUCCGCCUUCCUCUUAAAAGCGCGGGAGUGUCUGAAGACGGCAGUGGGCAUUGCAGCUCCGUUAUGUGGGUUACGCUAAACCAUUUUCUGCUCUUCACACAGGUUCCCCUCACAGUCGCUCAGCUGUGCCGAAGAACCGGAUGCAGAACCUACGCCAAUUUGUUCCACUGUUCUUUUAAUCUGUGAGGUACCGUGGAAGUAAAUAAACUGCUGUGUUAACCU